AACGCUAGCUACAGGCUUAACACAUGCAAGUCGUGGGGCAGCAUGGCUGAAGCUUGCUUCAGCUGAUGGCGACCGGCGCACGGGUGAGUAACGCGUAUCCAACCUUCCCAUGACAGGGGAAUAACCUUGCGAAAGUAAGACUAAUGCCCCAUGGUCUCCGACGACGGCAUCAGACUCGGAGUAAAGGCCUCGGCCGGUGAUGGAUGGGGAUGCGUCCGAUUAGCUUGACGGCGGGGUAACGGCCCACCGUGGCACCGAUCGGUAGGGGUUCUGAGAGGAAGGUCCCCCACAUUGGAACUGAGACACGGUCCAAACUCCUACGGGAGGCAGCAGUGAGGAAUAUUGGUCAAUGGGCGCAAGCCUGAACCAGCCAAGUAGCGUGAAGGAUGACUGCCCUAUGGGUUGUAAACUUCUUUUAUAAAGGAAUAAAGUCGGGUAUGGAUACCCGUUUGCAUGUACUUUAUGAAUAAGGAUCGGCUAACUCCGUGCCAGCAGCCGCGGUAAUACGGAGGAUCCGAGCGUUAUCCGGAUUUAUUGGGUUUAAAGGGAGCGUAGAUGGAUGUUUAAGUCAGUUGUGAAAGUCUGCGGCUCAACCGUAAAAUUGCAGUUGAUACUGGAUAUCUUGAGUGCAGUUGAGGCAGGCGGAAUUCGUGGUGUAGCGGUGAAAUGCUUAGAUAUCACGAAGAACUCCGAUUG
RNAcentral lists this ribosomal RNA (696 nucleotides) under uncultured bacterium. RNAcentral's name for it is "bacterial SSU rRNA". It matches the Rfam family "Bacterial small subunit ribosomal RNA", at positions 32 to 715 of the family's 1533-position model. The record is from RNAcentral.